UGGCUCAGAAUGAACGCUGGGGGUAUGCAUAACACCUAGCGAGUCAACAAGUUGUGGCGAACGGGUGAGUAUUACAGGCAUCUUUGCCCAACAAUUCAGAAUAAAUUCUGUAAAAGAUUGAUCGUUGUUGGAUAGGUCUGUGUAGGAUUAGAUAGUCGUAGAGAGUCGAUGAUCCUUAGCUGAUCUGGGAAGGAUGCACAGUCACAUUGGAACUGAGACAAGGUCCAAGCUCCAAAGGAGGCAGCAGUGAGGAAUAUUGGGCAAUGGGCGAAAGCCUGACCCAACAAUACCCCGUGAUUGAAGAAGGCUACGGUCGUAAAGAUAUGACAUUAGUGAAGAUAAUGACGUUAAUUAAUCGAAAAGCCCCGGAUAACUCCGUGCCAGAAGCCGCGGUAAUACGGGGGGGGCAA
RNAcentral lists this ribosomal RNA (410 nucleotides) under uncultured bacterium. RNAcentral's name for it is "bacterial SSU rRNA". It matches the Rfam family "Bacterial small subunit ribosomal RNA", at positions 20 to 537 of the family's 1533-position model. The record is from RNAcentral.